GCCGUCCGGCGGGGCUGCGAGUCCCGCGGGCGGCGCGGAAGCGGCGGCCGGGAAGCCAUGUCGCCUUUGUCUGCGGCCCUGGCGGCCCUGCGGGUGUACGCGGUGGGAGCGGCGGUGGUCGUGGCGCAGCUGCUGCGCCGCCGCCUCCGGGGCUUCGCGGAGCCAGUUUUCCCCCUACAACUCGAGCGUGUCGCUAUAGUGACCGGUGGGACCGAUGGAAUUGGAUAUUCGACAGCGAAGCAUCUGGCCAAAUUGGGCAUGCACGUUAUCAUAGGUGGAAAUAACCAGGGCAAAGCCGAAGAAGCUGUGAGGAAGAUAAAAGAGGAAACCCUCAAUGACAAAGUGGAAUUUCUAUAUUGUGACCUGGCGUCCAUGAGGUCUAUUCAGCAGUUCGUCCAGAGGUUCAAGAUGAAGAAAAUCCCGCUCCACGUCCUGGUCAAUAACGCUGGUGUAAUGAUGGUGCCGCAGAGGACCACCGAGGACGGCUUUGAGGAGCACUUUGGUGUGAACUACCUGGGGCACUUCCUGCUGACCAACCUCCUCCUGGACACCCUGCGGGAGUCGGGCGCCCCCGGCCGCAGCGCAAGGGUGGUGACCGUGUCCUCGGCCACACACUACGUCGGGGAACUGAACUUGGACGACCUUCAGAGCAGCAAGAGCUACUCGGCGCACGCGGCGUACGCCCAGAGCAAGCUGGCCCUGGUGUUCUUCACGUACCACCUGCAGGCGCUGCUGGAGGCCACGGGCAGCCCCGUGACCGCCAACGUGGCCGACCCCGGCGUGGUGGACACCGACCUGUAUAGACACGUCUUCUGGGGCACACGGCUCAUUAAGAAGCUGUUCGGCUGGUGCUUAUUCAAGACCCCGGAUGAGGGAGCCUGGACCUCUGUCUACGCGGCGGUCACCCCAGCGCUGGAAGGCCGUGGCGGCCGCUAUCUUUACAACGAGAAAGAGACCAAGUCACUGGCGGUCACGUACGACCUGGAGCUUCAGCGACAGCUGUGGGCCAGAAGUUGCCGGAUGACAGGCAUCGCCGAUGUGACCCAGGAGGCCUUCCGGGGUUAGCCACCCGCCGGGGAGACCGUGAUCCGCCAGGCGCUCGCAGGGUCUGCAGACGCCUCAUCUUUCAGCAGCGUGACGGCCGCCCUCUACGCCUUGGAAACAGAUGAAGAAGAUGUUAUGAAUUCUGUGUCGUGCAACCAGGAGACGUUGGUGUAAAAGGACAAGAGACCAGGACGUGUACGUUUGAGGUCCUCACCCCCUCGCCUGCAUCCUGCUGUGGUUGGCAGAGCUGAGACCCCAGCGUCUGGGACUGUUCGUGUGGUGGCCUGAGAGGAACAAACCAGGGCCCCUUCUGCAGGUGCGCAGACUCUGCAGGACGUCCGCUCGGAUAAGGAACAUCCCGACACCCUUCCCGGGAGAACCAUAGGGUGACAAGGAGGCUCCCGGAGACCAUGGACCAGCACGAGGAAGAGAGCUGCCAGACGGUCAGAGAUUCCUGACCCCCUUCAUCACAGUUGCAGGAGAGGUGAUGAUUACGGUGUGAACCCACAAGACGAUCUGUGGGUCCUGGUGGCCCGUGGCUCAGAUCACUGUGUGAAGAUGGGGGCACGUGGUCCCAGUGGAAGACCCUGCUUAUUCAAACAGCUCACUAUUAUGUCGUGUAUAAGAGUGUCCUGGGUGGCUGUAACACAGGACCACAAACUGGGAGUCUGAAAAGAGCAGAAAUUCAUCCAGCCCCUGGUCCUGGAGACCAGACGUCUGAGGUCAAGGUGUCCCAGGGCUGUGCUUCCUCCAGAGACCCCAGGGGAGGGUCCUUCCUGCCUCUUCCAGCUUCUGGGGGCUUCAGGGGUCCCUGGGCUUGUGGCCGCCACCCUCAUCCAAGAGGACCUCAUCUCAGACCCUUCGCUUCCAUCCGGAUAAUCAAGAAUGAUCUCUUCAUCUCAAGAUCCUUCAUUAGUUACAUCUGCCAAGACCCUUUUGCCAACAAAGUCAUAUCCACAGGUAACAGGGUUUAGGACGUGGUCAUAUCUUUUUGGUAGAAAGUAUUCAAUCCACUGCAUGGUACAUGAAUUGGAUACUUGGAAACUCAGGAAACAUCCAUUCCUUUUCUGGUGACCUGGAAAACCAUGGAGGUCACGGCUUCUUCUAUAUGUACCCAAGGCCGCUUUCCUGGGCGAGUGACCCAUGUAGCUUACACAGGACCCUGGCCUCAUAAGGAUGCCUAUUGGCUUAAUGCCCUAUGACCGCCAUCUUGAAAUUCUUAAUGAAGCGUGAACAAGGACCCACAUUUUCAUUUUGCCCUGGAACUGCCAAUGCGAUAGCCCUCUUUGCUCACAUUCCUUCCAACCUCAAGAAAGAGGAGCAAGUCUGCAGCCAAUAAGGACACCCCCACCCCCAGCACACCCUCCAUCCAGCCACUGAUGUGCUCAAGCCUACCUUUCAUGGGUGGUGAAGACCUCUCCCCAAGAUCCAGUAAGGCUAGUGGGUUUUGGCUGCACAUUGGGGGAGCCUCUGAAAACCACUAAUGCUCAGCUCCACCAUCAACAGAAUCCCCAAGUUCGUUCCUCUGGGUACCAGCAUUUAUUAGACCUCCUCAAGCCAUCCUCUUGUUCAGGCAAGUUUGAGACCCUCUGGGCCAGGCAAAUGCAGACUGAAGCUUCCAGCCCUGGGCGCCAGCCCCUCCCAGAACUGCUCAGAUGUUCUGCUAAGCCCUACAGCCCCGACUGAUGUGUUUCAGAACUAGAAUUACUUUGUAUGUUAAAACCAAGAUGGAGACAUACCUUGUCUAAUACUUCCGGACAGCUAGGAUGAUGUACUUCAAAGCAGGAUCUUGACUUCCAGGAAGAUCCCAACCUUGGAGCAUUUGCACAUCACUGGAGAGCCCUUUACGGCUUGAGGUCAUAGUACACAAGUGCCAGCUACUCUUAGCGGUAUCACAAAGUUGGUUCCCAAGUACAGGCUCAGGAUGAGGAGGCGGGGUGAGUCCUGUCCAGUCCGACAUCCUCUGUCACUUUGAGAACAAGCUUGCUGGGCCUUGAAAGAUGCUGCAGUCCCUGGGCGAAGAUAGGCUCUGAGAGCAAUUUGGACCGUGUAGGACCCUGGCCUCACAUGGCCCCUCCCCAUUGCAUGACCGCCCUUAUGUCACUCGUCCACCAGGGGAGAGAGAGGACACAGUUCUGGAGAAGUUACCAUGUUCCCUCGACACCUGAUUGUGGAACAUUCCUCAGAGCUCAGAGACACUUCCCAGCAGCUGGAGAAGUCUCGUGGACCACUGGAUUCUUUUCCCAUUUGGGUUAUUACAGAAUAUUGAGUGGAGUUCCCUGUGCUAUACAGAUUCCCCAUAGAAGCAAUAUCAUAUGGUAUUUGUCUUUGUCUGGCUUACUUCACCUAGUCUGAUCAUCUCUAGGUCCAUCCAUGUUGCUGCAAAUGGCAUUAUUUCAUUCUUUUUAUGGCUGAGUAAUAUUCCAUUGUAUAUAUGUACCACAUCUAAAAAGAAGGCGAAUUCUGCCCACAAGAAUGAAGUUGGAAGAGAAGCUCGACCUUCCAGUGAAAAUACAGACCUUAAAAACUAGUUAAAAUAUCAAGUAUGAUCUACUCCACUCAAGGGGAUUUCAACCCAAUAGCCGAAACUCAGGAGAGUCCCUCGACUUUAUGGAAGACCCUAUUGAAUAUGCAGAAAAUGGAAGUGGGAUGGUCCGAAUCCACAGAGACGAACUCCCGUGCCAUCUGUAGAAUCGUUGACUCAGUCCCUGGACUGAGCAUCUCCCUAAGAGACCGCAAACUCCGGCAAAGGAGCACUCAAGUGUCUUCGGCUCGCCUUCCAAAGGGCAGCAGUAUCUCUACCUGCUGCCCCAUCUGGCUCGACCCGUGAGCAGCAGCUGGAGGAGGGUUGCUGCGUCAGGUGUGACCCCACGCCUCUGCAGGGUUCCCCUCUCGUUGCCAACAUCCCGGCAUGCAGAACACAGUGCAGGGAUUCGGAUGCACCGUGGCUUACAUUCCGGGGACACGGCUCUCCAUGAAUAACGCCUGAAAAAGAAUGCACGGCCAAGGAGCACUGCACCGAGGUCAAGGCGGCCGAGGCUGAAUCGCUGGUUUGUCUGCAGGGGUUCUGCAUUGCAAUUGCAAUCGAACUUCAAAGCCCCGGCGGGCGGUUCCUGCAGCAGGAAUGCAAUCGCCACGUCCAACCUUCAGAUCUCGGGUUGCAGAAGAGGCAGCCCACCCUCAAGCCUUUGCAGCCCAAGAGAAAGAUGCUUUCCACUGCGGGGCUGUGAGGAUCUGCCGGUUCCUGUAUCCUGAAUCUCCAGGAGAGGAGCAGACCGCUUCCCAGGGGAAUCUGAGUCAGCUAAGUAAAUGCUGCAGCCGUUUGAUGGAGACAUCAAGUGAUUUCUAUUGGGGAACCUCUGAAAAAUAGUGUAAAGCCAUUACCUUCUUUGAACAGACCAUCUGUCUCCUGGUAUCACUGAAAAACAGCCAUCACAGCCAAGCCUGAACCAAGGGACUCGAACGCAGGAAGCAGUGCCACUCGAGGAUGUCAGGGCAGCGCCGACAGCCUUUAAUACGUCAAGGAUUCAGCAGUGUCCAUCACAAACCUUUCCUUCUCUCUGAUUGCCUGAGAUUUUUGUCACGAGAUGUCUGGGAUCCUGAUGAGUCACUAGGGACGUGAAAUCGUAACUAGAAGAAACGCCACCAAGGAAACAAUGUGUCACAGGUCAGCGUAUGUGGUCCACCCUUCCUGACAACAUCUCACAACCACAGAACGGACGGGACGCCUGUGUUAUCCCGACGUAAAUAUGGACCCCAGGAGAAACCAGCUCUUUGGACCCACGGUAACUGUUCCUGGGAGGGCAUUAUUGGGGGUGGAUUUCCCAAGAUGCUGCUUACGAGUCAUUCCUCGGAAAACCCGAGAUUGUAGAGAACACUGAUGCAGAUCACAGGAUGGGGAUGACCUAAAAAUGGACCCCAGGGGAAAAACAGUUAAGUGGGGUUAUUAUGGCUCUACCGGUCCGACCAAAUAAGGGAUGGUGGAUUUAUGAUCAGAUUCUGAAUUCUAGAACAGGAAGGGAUCUGGAAUGAACAGAAGUGCAGACGCCCGGGGCUCAGCAAUGUGCAGGUUUGUCACGACUGUUUCUGGACCCAGAGGGAACCGGGUAAGGAUGGCAAGACUCAUCAGGGCUGUCCCCACAGGAUGUAAGGUCUACUUAGCAACUGGCCCCUCCCUCCCUGGGGCCAUGUGUCAUUACUCAGCCCGUGGGGGUCAGGGUAGUUCAGAGGGUACUUGCUGAGGUUGCAGACCUGGAGAUCCAGGAUUUGGGGGAAGUUGGUGCCGAGAAGUGUCCCUUCCUUUUCUUCUCUUUUCCACGAGGAAGCUCAGCUCAUCCGCGGGUGUGGAAAGCUGAGAAUGAGCUUCAGACCUGCAGGCUGGCUCAGUGUCCGUGAGGAUGGAUGUCCCCCUCACCAAGCACCGCAGGGAGGCACAGGGUCAUCAGGGAAGGGCUUCGAGAAGCACGAAAAGCCGCGUGGACGGACCCCCGGGGAUGGACAUGAUGACGAAGGUGAUGUACUGUCUGUCCACGGAGCAUCUCCCGUUUCCUAUCACAGGGUCCUACAAGCGCCUUUUCAUUUCCUCCUGUCCUUAGGGUGUGUUUCUUAAUACGGAUGAGCGUUUGAAAUUAGGUUGUGAUGUUUGUCUGAUUUUGGUGCCCCCUCCCCUUGAAGGUGGGCUCUGUGGAGCAGAGGUGGGAUCUAACUCACUGUGACACGACAGCGUCCAGCCGGUCUCCAGCGAUGGGGUCCUGAGGAGGAGUCUUAAGGAAAGUGAUACGUGGCCUUCAACGUCUUUAGUCUGAAGGGAAGCAGCCUCGAAGAAACCUCGCCCUGGAUGUCCAGAGCUCCACAGUAACCUCUUCAUUCGCCUAUGAAAGAAGUAGUUCUAAAACUGUCAGCUGCUCCUUCCUUUCUCCUGCCUCUGGACCCUCGUCCUCCCCUGACCCUGCAUGAAGAUGGUCCCUGAGGUCUGACCCUGGCGUCCUCUCCCUGAUCAGCGUGAUGGGGCCAAUGGAUUCUGCCAUCUCUCACCUUUAUGGAAGCUCCAAAACCUGUCGCUCCCUCCAAAGUGAAGUCCCUCCAGUAAACCUCUUCCUUCCUGAACUUGGUCCGUCACUAACAAAGUUCCCUCCCCCAUCAAACAUCACAUCUGCUAAGCUACCUGAAAUCCAGACGUUGGGAAUUGAUUUCUGUGGCUGAGGAAGUGGGUCUCACACCUUUGUCUCACCCUAACACAAGCCAGGAAACCAAGACCCCCGCCCGGGUGGAGGAUGGUGACCACAUGCUGACCACAAGCACUAGAUCCCAGGCUGGUUGGAACCAGAAGGCUGAUGAUUGAGAUUCCCCGAAACAUCACCCUGUUGCCUCACCACCGACCAAUCAGAAGAAGGUCCAGGAGCUGAUCAGCCAUCCUAGGACCCUCUCCCCAACACUGUCUUUAAAAACCCUUCCCUGAAAGCCAUCGGGGAGCUCAGGUCCUUUGAGCAUGAGCUACCCCGUUCUCCUUGCUUGGCACUUGCAAUAAACGCUGUACUUUCUUUCACCACUUCCCGGGGUCAGUAGAUUGGCUUUACUGCACAUCUGGACCCCAGUGGACCCAAGUAUGGUUUGGUAACACUGG
Balaenoptera ricei (Rice's whale) is the source of this 6667-nucleotide RNA transcript. It is a transcript of the gene named dehydrogenase/reductase X-linked, with no coding region annotated. NCBI's taxonomy places the organism in Eukaryota, Metazoa, Chordata, Mammalia, Artiodactyla, Balaenopteridae. The record is from RefSeq and is a predicted model, not a curated record. The transcript has 19 exons.